AGCGAACGCUGGCGGCAGGCUUAACACAUGCAAGUCGAGCGGGCGUAGCAAUACGUCAGCGGCAGACGGGUGAGUAACGCGUGGGAACGUACCUUUUGGUUCGGAACAACACAGGGAAACUUGUGCUAAUACCGGAUAAGCCCUUACGGGGAAAGAUUUAUCGCCGAAAGAUCGGCCCGCGUCUGAUUAGCUAGUUGGUGAGGUAACGGCUCACCAAGGCGACGAUCUGUAGCUGGUCUGAGAGGAUGAUCAGCCACAUUGGGACUGAGACACGGCCCAAACUCCUACGGGAGGCAGCAGUGGGGAAUAUUGGACAAUGGGCGCAAGCCUGUUCCAGCCAUGCCGCGUGAGUGAUGAAGGCCCUAGGGUUGUAAAGCUCUUUUGUGCGGGAAGAUAAUGUCGGUACCGCAAGAAUAAGCCCCGGCUAACUUCGUGCCAGCCGCCGCAGUAA
RNAcentral lists this ribosomal RNA (451 nucleotides) under uncultured bacterium. RNAcentral describes it as "partial 16S ribosomal RNA". It matches the Rfam family "Bacterial small subunit ribosomal RNA", at positions 29 to 523 of the family's 1533-position model. The record is from RNAcentral.